ACUGUGGUUAUGAAUUUUUUUUACUUUUUGAUAGCUUUUAAAAACUAUCAGAUAUGUGAUAAUCAGAUAGAUUUCAAGUUUACUUACGGUGUAAAUUAGGAAAAUGUUUAUAAAGAUUCUAUCCAGUAUUGAUCAAAAGUAUAAAUUGUGUGUCUUUUUAAGCAGCAGUUUGGCAAUGACAAUCAAAUUGAUACUAUGUAAAAGUUUUGAAAUGUUAUAGCUGGCUACUGGGGUUUUUAUCUAUUCCAAUUCUCGAAAAUUUACCAAAUAUAGGUUGGCUGUAAAAUCAUAACUAUCUGAGGUAUCUGUCAAUAAAUCAAAGAUUGCAAUGAUUAUAGCUUCUUUAACAUGAAUGUAAUUCUAACAGUAAAAAAUUUCUAUAUGGAAUAUGUUUUGUAGUCCUAAAUUGAUAUUUUAUAUCAUUUUUCAGUGAACAAGUAGUUGUUUGCAGGUGUCUGUGCAUAUGUCUCUAGUUUUUCUAACUAAAAUAUUAAUAGUUAAGUCUAAAAAUAUGAAUUAUACGUGGGGCUUGUCAUUCUGACAUUUAAUACUUCAGCGUGGUGAUAAUGGUGAUAUAAUAUACUGUUUGAAACUGUAACACGAGUUAAAAUCAAAAGAUUGAUAUGUACAUAUUUGUAUAUUGCUACAUGACAAAAAUCUAGGAAGAAUAUGAUUCACAUGAAAAUUCUUUGGAAGGACAUGACAGAUUUUUAACAGUCCUGUAUAGUGAAAGGAGAAUAGAACGACUACUUCUGCUUUCUGUAUCUGAAAUUUUCAAAAGCUAUUUCAAAAUGAACAUUUAAACAACAGGAAAUUUUAGAGACAACCACUUUGUGCCUGUCUUCAUCCUUGACAUUCAACAUCCUAGGAACAAUGGGCUGUUGUAUUCAACUUCUUAUUCCCAACAGCCAUUAUGAAUGGUUUUUGAUUGAUCUCACAAAGAGCAUGUGAUUUAGACAUUAAUGCAGCGACUACCAUGAAACAGAGUAUUGGAUUACCUAAGGAAAGAAGCAGAAGAUGGAAUUUGAGGCAAUCAGGAUGAGUGAAAAAUUUAUUUGCAGCUGACCUGCAAAUGGAAUCAUCAGGAACAUCCCUUUCUCAUGGAGUCCCUUAAUUUACAAGUUAACUGCAAACAUAGGAGAUGAUAGUUCCAAGAAGGAACAUUUUAUCGUCUUUGUUUUUAAUCUCAAGAAUGGUACCUACCAUCAGUGAAUGACCUGUUGCAGUGCUUUCAUUGAAGUGUUCUUCAUUCCCUCAGCAAUAUGAUUGUGAUGACUGAAAAAGAGAAACUGUGCCACUAUUUGUACCAUCAUUUUCACCAAAAUCUAAAAAUGCUUUUUAUGACGUAUGGAGACAUUCUUCAUGUUUGUUUCAGUGGACACUGCUUGCAGAUGUAAAAAACUGAGAAAACUCACUUUUGGAAAGUGACCUAAAGAGUGUCAUUGAAGUGAAUUUUAAGUAGGCACGAUGAUUGUUUUCAUGGUUGCUGUUGGAUCAUAUCUCAGGAGCUGGAAUGACAGACAUUAUUGAACAAAGAAAUCAGGAUAGUGGAACUUAAAGGGCUUCAUCUCAGUGCUUUCAUAAGUAUGAAGUGCAUAUAUUUAUAAUUUUCACUAAUCACAGGGUAAAUAUAAAAUUGAUUCAUUAAAAAUGUUUCAUAAGAAUUCAAAGGACAUAGAAUUUUGUGAAAUGUAGUAUUUUUACUUAAGUGCCUUUUCUCUAUUUCUACCCCACAGCCAAUUUUUUAUAAACCAGUUGAUACAUAAGUAGUUUUGGGGGGAUGAUACAUUACUUAUACAUUUUCUAUGUAGUAAACAUGUAUGUGUAUGUGUGUGGGUGUGUGUCUAAUUACUUUGUUGGACUGAUUCCUGUGGUUUGGAACUGCUGGGGCCAAGUUUAUACAAAAAUCUACAUUUUUGAGUAAACUCCCCAUGACUCUAGUAAGUUCCCACGGUAUUUGAGAAUUCUUUAUUUCCUAAAGCUGUACAAACAUCAGAUAAUCAAUAUUUGUAAGGAUCGAUAAUAUAAUUUAUAAUGAAAUUGCUUUAUCAGCUAUUAAUGUUAACUACAUCAUCUUCAUAUAGCCUUAUAACUCAUUUGUGCUAUUCCAUUUUCCUCUGUUCCUUUUAUUUUCACUUCCCUUGUAAUGUUAGUCUCUUUGUACUGAUUUCUGAAGAGUUCAUUUAUGAUUAAACGUGUUAACAUUUUGUCUAGAAUUGCA
Molecule: long non-coding RNA, 2221 nt
Filed under: Pan troglodytes (chimpanzee)
Lineage: Eukaryota; Metazoa; Chordata; Mammalia; Primates; Hominidae
Description: long non-coding RNA NONPTRT005249
Source: RNAcentral